AGUGAACGCUGGCGGUAGGCCUAACACAUGCAAGUCGAACGGCAGCACAGUAAGAGCUUGCUCUUACGGGUGGCGAGUGGCGGACGGGUGAGGAAUACAUCGGAAUCUACUUUUUCGUGGGGGAUAACGUAGGGAAACUUACGCUAAUACCGCAUACGACCUACGGGUGAAAGCAGGGGAUCUUCGGACCUUGCGCGAUUGAAUGAGCCGAUGUCGGAUUAGCCAGUUGGCGGGGUAAAGGCCCACCAAGGCGACGAUCCGUAGCUGGUCUGAGAGGAUGAUCAGCCACACUGGAAGUGAGACACGGUCCAGACUGCUACGGGAGGCAGCAGUGGGGAAUAUUGGACAAUGGGCGCAAGCCUGAUCCAGGCAGACCGCGUGGGUGAAGAAGGCCUUCGGGUUGUAAAGCCCUUUUGUUGGGAAAGAAAAGCAGCAGGUUAAUACCCCGCUGUUCUGACGGUACCCAAAGAAUAAGCACCGGCUAACUUCGUG
This 492-nucleotide ribosomal RNA is filed under the name uncultured bacterium. RNAcentral describes it as "partial 16S ribosomal RNA". It matches the Rfam family "Bacterial small subunit ribosomal RNA", at positions 29 to 507 of the family's 1533-position model. The record is from RNAcentral.